RNAcentral lists this ribosomal RNA (519 nucleotides) under uncultured bacterium. RNAcentral describes it as "bacterial SSU rRNA". It matches the Rfam family "Bacterial small subunit ribosomal RNA", at positions 26 to 518 of the family's 1533-position model. The record is from RNAcentral.
AGGACGAACGCUGGCGGCGUGCCUAAUACAUGCAAGUCGAACGGUCUUUCUAUGGAAGCUUGCUUCCACUGAGAAGAUAGUGGCGAACGGGUGAGUAACACGUGGGUAACCUGCCCAUAAGAGGGGGGAUAACAUCCGGAAACGGGUGCUAAUACCGCAUAGUUUUCUUGAUCGCAUGAUCGGGAAAGGAAAGACGGCCUUUGUGCUGUCGCUUAUGGAUGGACCCGCGGCGUAUUAGUUAGUUGGUGAGGUAACGGCUCACCAAGACGAUGAUACGUAGCCGACCUGAGGGGUGAUCGGCCACAUUGGGACUGAGACACGGCCCAAACUCCUACGGGAGGCAGCAGUAGGGAAUCUUCCGCAAUGGACGAAAGUCUGACGGAGCAACGCCGCGUGGGUGAAGAAAGGUUUUCGGAUCGUAAAACUCUGUUGUCAGAGAAGAACAAGUUGGAGAGUAACUGCUCCAGCCUUGACGGUAUCUGACCAGAAAGCCACGGCUAACUACGUGCCAGCAGCGGC